This 323-nucleotide long non-coding RNA is filed under the name Numida meleagris (helmeted guineafowl). RNAcentral describes it as "lncRNA (ENSNMEG00000002282.1)". Lineage: Eukaryota; Metazoa; Chordata; Aves; Galliformes; Numididae. The record is from RNAcentral.
AGAUGAAGAUGCUGUCUUUCAGGAGAGAAUAAGCUGAGACUACAAAAACCAGCUGUGGGAAGAUUUGACAGAGGACAAAAUGUAUCUAUGGCCAACAAUACUGAGAAUAAAAUUAUUUUAAUGAGGAGGAACACGCAUACUGUCCUACUCACUAAAGUUGGAUUGAAGGAGAAAAUCAGAUGGACAGGAUGUGAAAACUUCUCAGACGGAAGGAAACUGACCCAAUAAAUUUCAUUAAAGAUUUAUAUUAAUCUUUAAGUCAGCAUAACUUUCUCUCAGGAAAAUUAAAUAAAUUACUUUAAUCAGUUGCUCUUUAAUCUCUA